ACAAAAGGUCACUUUUAAUAUCAAACACAAAGACACUCAGUGGCUGAGAUGCUGUUGGUUUCUUCCCCCAGAAGCCGUGUCUAUACGUGGGCUGUCCGUAGCGUGUUUACCUCAUGGAGAGCUGAGGGUGUCCUGCUCCGCUGGGGGGGACAAUCCCCACUACAACUGGACACUGGGGGACCAGCCACUUGGAGAGGACAUUCCCCAUAUGAACUCUGGAGAUGGUGUUGUUUUGUUGGGAAAGGGUGAGAGUGGAGAAAUCACCUGUACAGCCUGGAAUAAUGUCAGCAGGGAAAGCAGAACCCAGAGUCUCCCCACCUGUUCAGUGAUCUUACCUGUUUCGGCAGCACUAGCAAUUAUCACCGUGCUUCUUGUCGUCACAGUGGGAGUUUACUUCUUGUACAAGAGGAAGAAAGAUCGAGCAUCAGUAGGGGAUAAAGCCUACAGCCAAGAUCUGGUGUAUGCAGACGUCAGGGUCAGCAGGAACGAGGGCAACGGCAGGACCCGGAUGGGGAAGAGGGCAGAACCAGAGGUGGUGUACGGAGAAGUUAAAGUGUGAAGUACUUCUGAACAGAAAUGAUACAAGGGAAAACACACAAUUGCUAAAAUUGGUCUUAUUUUUUUUCUGAAAACCUUCCUCUUUUCUCAAGCAAUUUUUGAAAUAAUACUCAGUUUCGACUCCCUCUGCUUCUUUUUUUAACUUUUUAAAAUGUAUUUUUCAUAUCUCACAUUCAUUAAAGGUGAAAUUUUGCUGAAAAUUGUAAUAAAAG
Molecule: long non-coding RNA, 770 nt
Filed under: Scleropages formosus (Asian bonytongue)
Lineage: Eukaryota; Metazoa; Chordata; Actinopteri; Osteoglossiformes; Osteoglossidae
Description: lncRNA (ENSSFOG00015026762.1)
Source: RNAcentral